CCGAGUUUACAACUCCCAAACCCAAUGUGAACCAUACCAAACUGUUGCCUCGGCGGGGUCACGCCCCGGGUGCGUCGCAGCCCCGGAACCAGGCGCCCGCCGGAGGGACCAACCAAACUCUUUUCUGUAGUCCCCUCGCGGACGUUAUUUCUUACAGCUCUGAGCAAAAAUUCAAAAUGAAUCAAAACUUUCAACAACGGAUCUCUUGGUUCUGGCAUCGAUGAAGAACGCAGCGAAAUGCGAUAAGUAAUGUGAAUUGCAGAAUUCAGUGAAUCAUCGAAUCUUUGAACGCACAUUGCGCCCGCCAGUAUUCUGGCGGGCAUGCCUGUCCGAGCGUCAUUUCAACCCUCGAACCCCUCCGGGGGGUCGGCGUUGGGGACCUCGGGAGCCCCUAAGACGGGAUCCCGGCCCCGAAAUACAGUGGCGGUCUCGCCGCAGCCUCUCCUGCGCAGUAGUUUGCACAACUCGCACCGGGAGCGCGGCGCGUCCACGUCCGUAAAACACCCAACUUCUGAAAUGUUGACCUCGGAUCAGGUAGGAAUACCCGCUGAACUUAAGCAUAUCAAAGGCCCGGAGAAA
RNAcentral lists this ribosomal RNA (579 nucleotides) under Trichoderma atroviride. RNAcentral's name for it is "eukaryotic LSU rRNA". The stretch from base 186 to 339 matches the Rfam family "5.8S ribosomal RNA". The record is from RNAcentral. Lineage: Eukaryota; Fungi; Ascomycota; Sordariomycetes; Hypocreales; Hypocreaceae.